AACGAACGCUGGCGGCGUGCUUAACACAUGCAAGUCGAACGAUGAAGCCCUUCGGGGUGGAUUAGUGGCGAACGGGUGAGUAACACGUGGGCAAUCUGCCCUUCACUCUGGGACAAGCCCUGGAAACGGGGUCUAAUACCGGAUAACACCGGCCUUCGCAUGGAGGCUGGUUAAAAGCUCCGGCGGUGAAGGAUGAGCCCGCGGCCUAUCAGCUUGUUGGUGGGGUAAUGGCCCACCAAGGCGACGACGGGUAGCCGGCCUGAGAGGGCGACCGGCCACACUGGGACUGAGACACGGCCCAGACUCCUACGGGAGGCAGCAGUGGGGAAUAUUGCACAAUGGGCGAAAGCCUGAUGCAGCGACGCCGCGUGAGGGAUGACGGCCUUCGGGUUGUAAACCUCUUUCAGCAGGGAAGAAGCGAAAGUGACGGUACCUGCAGAAGAAGCGCCGGCUAACUACGUGCCAGCAGCCGCAGUAAAAC
RNAcentral lists this ribosomal RNA (481 nucleotides) under uncultured bacterium. RNAcentral's name for it is "bacterial SSU rRNA". It matches the Rfam family "Bacterial small subunit ribosomal RNA", at positions 29 to 526 of the family's 1533-position model. The record is from RNAcentral.